RNAcentral lists this ribosomal RNA (399 nucleotides) under uncultured bacterium. Its description in RNAcentral is "partial 16S ribosomal RNA". It matches the Rfam family "Bacterial small subunit ribosomal RNA", at positions 360 to 776 of the family's 1533-position model. The record is from RNAcentral.
AAUAGUGCACAAGGUGCGAAAGCCUGAUGCAGCAACGCCGAGAGAGGGAUGGAGGCCCGCGUUACGCAAAGCUCUUUGAUCAGGGACGAUAAUGACAGGACAGGAAAACCAAGCCACGGCGAACUACGUGCCAGCAGCCGCGGUAAUACGUAGGUGGCGAGCGUUGUCCGGAAUUACUGGGCGUAAAGGAUGCGUAGGUGGAUACUUAAGUGAGAUGUGAAAUCCCCGGGCUCAACCCGGGAACUGCAUUCCAAACUGGGUAUCUAGAGUGCAGGAGAGGAAAGCGGAAUUCCUAGUGUAGCGGUGAAAUGCGUAGAUAUUAGGAGGAACACCAGUGGCGAAGGCGGCUUUCUGGACUGUAACUGACACUGAGGCAUGAAAGCGUGGGUAGCAAACAGG